UACGUAGGGUGCGAGCGUUAAUCGGAAUUACUGGGCGUAAAGCGUGCGCAGGCGGUUCGUUGUGUCUGAUGUGAAAGCCCCGGGCUUAACCUGGGAAUGGCAUUGGAAACUGGCGAGCUGGAGUGUGGCAGAGGGGGGUGGAAUUCCGCGUGUAGCAGUGAAAUGCGUAGAGAUGCGGCGGAACACCGAUGGCGAAGGCAGCCCCCUGGGCUGAGAUUGACGCUCAGGCACGAAAGCGUGGGGAGCAAACAGG
Molecule: ribosomal RNA, 253 nt
Filed under: uncultured bacterium
Lineage: Bacteria
Description: partial 16S ribosomal RNA
Rfam family: Bacterial small subunit ribosomal RNA
Source: RNAcentral